RNAcentral lists this transfer RNA (91 nucleotides) under Paramuricea clavata. It matches the Rfam family "tRNA". Rfam says of the family: Transfer RNA (tRNA) molecules are approximately 80 nucleotides in length. Their secondary structure includes four short double-helical elements and three loops (D, anti-codon, and T loops). Further hydrogen bonds mediate the characteristic L-shaped molecular structure. tRNAs have two regions of fundamental functional importance: the anti-codon, which is responsible for specific mRNA codon recognition, and the 3' end, to which the tRNAs corresponding amino acid is attached (by aminoacyl-tRNA synthetases). tRNAs cope with the degeneracy of the genetic code in two manners: having more than one tRNA (with a specific anti-codon) for a particular amino acid; and 'wobble' base-pairing, i.e. permitting non-standard base-pairing at the 3rd anti-codon position. Lineage: Eukaryota; Metazoa; Cnidaria; Anthozoa; Malacalcyonacea; Plexauridae. The record is from Rfam by way of RNAcentral.
GCCUCGUUAGCGCAGUAGGCAGCGCGUCAGUCUCAUAAUCACUUGCUGAAGAGCAAUCUGAAGGUCGUGAGUUCGAUCCUCACACGAGGCA